CAAAAUUCACCCAAAAUUCACCCCCAAAAUGGCCAAAAUUCACCCAAAAUCCACCCCAAAAAUCACCCGAAAUUCACCCCAAAAACGGCCGAAAUUCACCCAAAAAUCACCCAAAAUUCACCCCAAAAUCCACCCAAAAUUCACCCAAAAACGGCCAAAAUUCAUCCAAAAUUCACCCGAAAUUCACCCGAAAUUCAACCAAAAUUCACCCAAAAUUCACCCGAAAUUCAACCAAAAUUCACCCGAAAUUCACACGAAAUUCACCCCAAAUCCACCCAAAAAAUCCCCUCCCCAAAAUUCCCCAAAACCUCCCCAAGAGCCCCGCAAAAAUCCCCCAAAAACCUCCCCAAAAACCCCUGAAAAAUCCUAAAAUUUCACCUGAAAUCCACCCAAAACCACCCCCAAAUCCCCCCAAAAUUCCCACCAAAACCCCCAAAAAUCCCAAAAUUCCCCCCAAGAAAUCCCUGAAAAAUCCCUCAAAAAAAACCCAAAGUCCCCCCAAAACCUCCCCAAAAAAAUCCCAAAAAAACCCAACCCCCCCCCAAAACCUUCCCAAAAUUAACCCCAAAAACCUUCCCAAAAAAAACCCAAAAAAACCCACCCCCCCCCCCCCAAAAACCCCCCAAAAUCCCAAAAAUCCCCCAAAAUCCCCAAAUCUCCCCAAAAUGCCCCAAAAUCUCUCACCGAUCAUGACGUUGACGGCCUCGGGCUCGAGGCCCCCCAAAAAUUUCCUCUUGAGGCUGAUCCCCCCAAAAUCCACCAGGACGCGGCGCAGCACCGCGAAGGCGCCGUCGCGCACCAGCUCCUGGGGACCCCAAAAUCCAUUUGGGAACCCCAAAAUCCAUUUGGGAACCCCAAAAUCCGACUCGGCGCCCCCGAAAACCCCAAAAUCCACCCCAAAACCACCAAAAUCCACCCCAGGAACCCCAAAAUCCAACCCAGGAAACACAGAAACCCCAAAAUCCAACCCAGGAACUCCAAAAACCCCAAAAUCCACCCCAAAAACACCAAAAUCCACCCCAGGAACCCCAAAAUCCAUUUGGGAACCCCAAAAUCCG
This 1058-nucleotide long non-coding RNA is filed under the name Lonchura striata (white-rumped munia). Its description in RNAcentral is "domestica (Bengalese finch) lncRNA (ENSLSDG00000002880.1)". The record is from RNAcentral. Lineage: Eukaryota; Metazoa; Chordata; Aves; Passeriformes; Estrildidae.